AAAAAAGAUCCCAUCAUGUCUAACAAACGAUCUGUCUGCAUUUUGUUACGAGAACUCGCCAAGCCAAUAGAUGACGCUGCUGUUAUGUAUAUCUGAGUGUGAUACUAUAUAGUACUAGUGAGCCAAGUUAGGCAUUACUUACUAUGCACUGAAUGGAGCUGUAUGCAUGCUACAGAGUGAUGAUGAAGUAAAGACUUUAUAAUCAACAUUACCUUGCUCUUGUAUAGAAUAAACACCAUUCAAAACAAACAUGGUGUCAGAAGUCAGAACCACAUAGGUAUAUCCUUGACGAAUCAAAAUAUCAAAACAACACAGGGAUAAAUGCACAGUAGGAAGGGACAAGCUAACCAGCUACACAAAAUAAUGACAACAAUGGCUUACCCAGUAAUUCCAGUACCAGAGCCUAUGGACAUGAAAGGCGAUACAUACAACAACUGGACAUUCUUUCCAGCGCAAUAGGAAAACUAUGAGAAAGCUACCGGUCUGGACUAAAAAGAAUACAAAGUCUGCAUAGCAACUCUGCUAAGUGUGAUGGGAAAGGAAUGACAUCUCUUACAGCGUCAUCUUCAUAUGCCCGAAGCAGAGAACUGACCCAGUAAAAAUGAUACAGAAACAGUUUGAGCAGCUGGGAGGGACUGCUGCGUGAGGACUGGGCCGCCUGUGAGUGCUUUGGGACGGGGUGGGGCCCACUGCAGCACCUGCUGCUCGUUGAGAAGAGAUCUCGGUGGGCGGAGCCGGGAGGGUGGUCAGUGAAAUGGGACACACAUGGGCUCGGGUGUGUCCCAGGAUAAAUGCACCUCUUCCCCAUUCAUUGAGGAAACUCUCUCCGUGCAGACACAGACGGAUUUUGGUUGUUCCAUUUUUUUUGUGGCUAUUUGGCUUAUUUGGUUUGUUUGCGUUGGCACCUUUCAACACCCCUAAUUCCCACAUGUAUACACGCGACCACUCAUUUACACUGCUGACUAAACACUCACCAUUGUUAAUUGUAUUUACUUUACUUCAGUUAAUAAAUAUAUUUUGUUAUUCUUUAUCUCCACGUUGUCUCACUUUUUGUUAUGGGCUUCGAGCCGGUUCGUGACAAGUGGGGGCUCGUCCAGGAUCCUAAGCUUGUUUGAGUUAUAAUGUUUGGUGUCCGGUACUGGUUUCGUUUGUUUGGUAAACUUGCCACUGCGGUGGAUAGUUCGUUGUGUUCUGCAUUGGAGAAAGUACAUUGGUUAGUUUCCAGGCCCCUGCCCAGGCUGAAGACUCCGGCUCUACUCGCUGUUGGGACAUCGGUCCAAGGAGCUGAAUUCAGAGGACCCGGACCCGUAAAUUCACCGUGAAGAUCUGAAGAACCAUGGAAAUAUAUUUUGCAGGCAUCGGCAGGCCACGGCACUCGCUCUGGCGCACUGCGGGGCAGAGGUCAUGGCUGUCACAAGCACGCAGGCUGACCUGGACAGCAUUCUGCUGGAGGUACCCCACCCCCUGCACCACCCGUUGCUUGCUCUAUUGUCCCUCUAUAGGACCUCCUCUCUACCAGCCCUAUACACAUACCAGAGGCUGACUAGUUUCCCCGCUGCUCUCUUCAUCUCCCUGGCCCAUUGUUUCUGCUCCGCUCCAUGACGAGAGAUGAGAGAUUCGUUGUGGUGAUUCUCCUGCUGUCCGUUCUCUCUGUGUGAUUGGUUCUGGUGGUCCGUUCUCUCUGUGUGAUUGGUUCUGAUGUCUGGUUCUGGUUGUUGCCUGCAGUGUCCAUCAAUCAGGCCAGUGUGUGUGGACCCAGGGAACUGGGGGGCCACAGAGGAGGCACUAUGGGAGGCUGUUGGUAACGUUGAUUUCCUGGUGAAUAAAGCAGCCUGCCCUUCCUAGAGGUUGCCCCCAACUAGUUUGGCAUGUAAAUAAGCUCUCUUCGCUGUCCUUUGAUUCAUUAUUGAUUCAAAUUAAAGUGAAACACAAGUCACUCAAGACAAGGUAUUAGACCUGUGUUUUAGACCUAGAGUACAUGUAUUAGACCUACAGUACAUGUUUUAGACCUGUGUUUUAGGUCUACAGUACAUGUAUUAGACCUGUGUAUUUAGACAUACAGUACAUGUAUUAGACCUGUGUUUUAGACCUACAUAAAGUACAGUGUAUUCGGAGAGUAUUCAGACUUUUUCCACAUUUCAUUACAUUACAGCCUUAUUCUAAAAUGGAUGAAAUGUUCUCCAAAGCAAUCUACACAAAAUGACAAAGCGAAAAAAGUUAAGAAAUUUUUGCAAAUGUAUAAAAACUGAAAUAACUGUGAUGGAACAUUUUAUGCUGGUUCUUUUCUAUUUACCAAUUUCUGUGUUCUAUAUUUGUGCUUUUCUAAUAACCGUUUUCUGUGUUUAUGCAAGUGACUGACUGAACGAACCCUCACUAUCAGUAUCUGCAGUUUGGCAGUACGUCCAGACCCUUGUUUUGAGAACGACAGAUAUCUGUUUCAAUGUCUCAGCUUAGAGAGAAGAAGCCGCAUGAGGUAUUGGUCUGUCACAUGCAUGACCCAGUACUGGUCAGUCACAUGAAUGAAGCAAACGUUAGUGAUGAAUUAAUUAUGAACGAAUAAGCUAAAUCAUGCAAAUAUAACUUGUCUGCAUAUAAGAGAACUAAC
Molecule: long non-coding RNA, 2605 nt
Filed under: Salmo salar (Atlantic salmon)
Lineage: Eukaryota; Metazoa; Chordata; Actinopteri; Salmoniformes; Salmonidae
Description: lncRNA (ENSSSAG00000082851.1)
Source: RNAcentral